AGAGUUUGAUCCUGGCUCAGGAUGAACGCUAGCGGCAGGCUUAACACAUGCAAGUCGAGGGGCAGCGCGUGUAGCAAUACAUGGCGGCGACCGGCGAAAGGGUGAGUAACGCGUGAGCAACGUGCCCGUAUGUGGGGGAUAGUCGAUGGAAACGUCGCGUAAUACCCCGUAACACAUUUUUCCGCAUGGGAAGAUGUUGAAAGAUUUAUUGCAUACGGAUCGGCUCGCGUGCCAUUAGGUAGACGGCGGGGUAACGGCCCACCGUGCCGACGAUGGCUAGGGGUUCUGAGAGGAAGGUCCCCCACAUUGGAACUGAGACACGGUCCAGACUCCUACGGGAGGCAGCAGUGAGGAAUAUUGGACAAUGGCCGGAAGGCUGAUCCAGCCAUGCCGCGUGCGGGAAGACGGCCCUAUGGGUUGUAAACCGCUUUUGCGAGGGAGCAAUAAGGGCAACGUGUUGUCCGAUGAGAGUACCUCGCGAAUAAGCAUCGGCUAACUCCGUGCCAGCAGCCGCGGUAAUACGGAGGAUGCAAGCGUUAUCCGGAUUUAUUGGGUUUAAAGGGUGCGCAGGCGGCUUGUUAAGCGGGAGGUGAAAUGCCGGCGCUCAACGUCGGAAGUGCCUCCCGAACUGGUGAGCUUGAAUGACUCUGCCGUGGGAGGAAUGUGUAGUGUAGCGGUGAAAUGCUUAGAGAUUACACAGAACACCGAUUGCGAAGGCAUCUCACGAAGGGUUGAUUGACGCUGAGGCACGAAAGCGUGGGGAUCAAACAGGAUUAGAUACCCUGGUAGUCCACGCAGUAAACGAUGAUGGCUAACCGCUGGGUUAUUCGAUUCAGUGGCCAAGCGAAAGCGAUAAGCCA
This 860-nucleotide ribosomal RNA is filed under the name uncultured rumen bacterium. Its description in RNAcentral is "bacterial SSU rRNA". It matches the Rfam family "Bacterial small subunit ribosomal RNA", at positions 8 to 867 of the family's 1533-position model. The record is from RNAcentral.